This is a long non-coding RNA of Oncorhynchus tshawytscha (Chinook salmon), 766 nucleotides long. Lineage: Eukaryota; Metazoa; Chordata; Actinopteri; Salmoniformes; Salmonidae. The record is from Ensembl.
UAGACUAGGAGAAGGUAUACACGGGGCAGGUAGACUAGGGGCGGCAGGUAGACUAGGGGCGGCAGGUAGACUGGAGGCAGGUAGACUAGGAGAAGGUAGACUAGGAGAAGAUAUACACGGGGCAGGUAGACUAGGGGCAGGUAGACUAGGGGCGGCAGGUAGACUAGAGGCAGGUAGACUAGGAGAAGGUAUACAAGGGGCAGGUAGACUAGGGGCGGCAGGUAGACUGGAGGCAGGUAGACUGGAGGCAGGUAGACUAGAGGAGGCAGGUAGACUAGGAGAAGGUAGACUAGGAGAAGGUAUACACGGGGCAGGUAGACUAGGGGCGGCAGGUAGACUAGGGGCGGCAGGUAGACUGGAGGCAGGUAGACUAGGAGAAGGUAGACUAGGAGAAGAUAUACACGGGGCAGGUAGACUAGGGGCAGGUAGACUAGGGGCGGCAGGUAGACUAGAGGCAGGUAGACUAGGAGAAGGUAUACAAGGGGCAGGUAGACUAGGGGCGGCAGGUAGACUGGAGGCAGGUAGACUGGAGGCAGGUAGACUAGUGGCAGGUAGAUUAGGGGCGGCAGGUAGACUAGAGGCAGGUAGACUGGAGGCAGGUAGACUGGAGGCAGGUAGACUAGGGGCAGGUAGACUAGGGGCGGCAGGUAGACUGGAGGGAGGUAGACUGGAGGCAGGUAGACUAGGGGCGGCAGGUAGACUGGAGGCAGGUAGACUAGGGGCAGGUAGACUAGAAGAGGCAUGUAGACUAGGGGCAGGUAGACUA